UUUUUGUAAUUAUAAAUUAUUAUACUUGUGUAAUUUAAGUAAUAUGUUAAAUGUGUGUUUUUAGUAGUUUUUAAUGAAUUUUAUUUGAGAAUUAUAGUUUAUUAGUACGGUGUUGGAUUGUUUGAAGGAUUUUUGUUUUAUUGUGAAGGAAUAUAAUUGUACCUUUUGUAUCAGGGUUAAUUGAGUUUUUUUAAUUUAUUUUGAGUUCCCGAAUCAAUAAGAUUUAUUUAAUUGUGUUAGUUGACGUUUUAUAGUUAUUAAUAAUAAUUAAAUGGUAAUGAAAUGUUAUUCGAUUUUUGAGAUAUCUGGUUUCCUUAGAAUUAAAUUUAAUUUAUAUAUUAAUUAUAUUUGGUUUUUUUGUGUUGGUGAGUUGAGUUAAUAUAAAGUGUCUUGGGGAUAAGCUUGGGAUAUAUAGUUAUAUGUUAUAUAUAUAAAAAAAUGUUAUGUGGGCUUUAAAUUAGCUAUUAUAUUGGAGUGUGUUAUAAUUAUUGAUUUAGUAAUUUGUAUUUAGUUGUUAAUGUUUUAUAGGGAUGCAUAAAUUAUUAAUAUUGUUUAUAGUAAUAAUGAUUGAAUUAGUAAAUGUUUAUUUAUAUUUGGUUAUAUUUAUAUAAUUAGUAAGAAGGAAUUAGGCAAAUUGUAUUGUUCGCCUGUUUAUCAAAAACAUGUCUUUUUGUAUAGAUAUAAAGUCGGGCCUGCCCACUGAAAUAUGAAGGGCCGCGGUAUUUUGACCGUGCAAAGGUAGCAUAAUCAUUAGUCUUUUAAUUGAGGGCUGGAAUGAAUGGUUUGAUGAAAUAAUAACUGUCUCUUUAUUAUUAAUUUGAAUUUUACUUUUGAGUUAAAAGGCUCAAAUGUUAUUAAGGGACGAGAAGACCCUAUAGAUCUUGAUAAUUAUUAUUAUGGAGUAAUUUUUAGUUGUUUUGUUAUUUUAUGAAUAAUAAUUAUUUUAUUGGGGUGAUAUGAGAAUAUUUUAACUUCUUAAUAAUUAACUUUGAUUGAUGGAUAUAUAAUCCUGUAUUAUGGAAUUAAGAUUAAGAUACCUUAGGGAUAACAGCGUAAUUUUGUUGGAGAGUUCUUAUCGAUAAUGAAGAUUGCGACCUCGAGUUGGGAUUAAGGAUAUAUGUUGGUGUAGUCGCUAAUAAUAUGGUCUGUUCGACCAUUAAAUUCUUACAUGAUCUGAGUUCAAACCGGUGUGAGCCAGGUUGGUUUCUAUCUUUAUUUAUAUAAAUAUAUUGUAGUACGAAAGGACCUAAUAUAUUAAAUAAUUUGUUUUAUUUGAAUGAUUUU
This 1284-nucleotide ribosomal RNA is filed under the name Xenogryllus marmoratus. RNAcentral's name for it is "16S ribosomal RNA". The stretch from base 1044 to 1201 matches the Rfam family "Archaeal large subunit ribosomal RNA", at positions 2542 to 2701 of the family's 2987-position model. Lineage: Eukaryota; Metazoa; Arthropoda; Insecta; Orthoptera; Gryllidae. The record is from RNAcentral.